This 497-nucleotide ribosomal RNA is filed under the name uncultured bacterium. Its description in RNAcentral is "partial 16S ribosomal RNA". It matches the Rfam family "Bacterial small subunit ribosomal RNA", at positions 28 to 507 of the family's 1533-position model. The record is from RNAcentral.
GAUGAACGCUGGCGGCGUGCCUAAUACAUGCAAGUCGAGCGAACAGACGAGGAGCUUGCUCCCCUGACGUUAGCGGCGGACGGGUGAGUAACACGUGGAUAACCUACCUGUAAGACUGGGAUAACUUCGGGAAACCGGAGCUAAUACCGGAUAAUAUAUUGAACCGCAUGGUUCAAUAGUGAAAGACGGUUUUGCUGUCACUUAUAGAUGGAUCCGCGCCGCAUUAGCUAGUUGGUAAGGUAACGGCUUACCAAGGCGACGAUGCGUAGCCGACCUGAGAGGGUGAUCGGCCACACUGGAACUGAGACACGGUCCAGACUCCUACGGGAGGCAGCAGUAGGGAAUCUUCCGCAAUGGGCGAAAGCCUGACGGAGCAACGCCGCGUGAGUGAUGAAGGUCUUCGGAUCGUAAAACUCUGUUAUUAGGGAAGAACAAAUGUGUAAGUAACUAUGCACGUCUUGACGGUACCUAAUCAGAAAGCCACGGCUAACUACGUG